AUUAGGUUGGUGCAAAAGUAAUUGUCAUCUUUCCAACAUUUUUAAUGGCAAAGACUGCAAUUACUUUUGCAUCAACCUAAU
This is a microRNA precursor of Aotus nancymaae (Ma's night monkey), 81 nucleotides long. Lineage: Eukaryota; Metazoa; Chordata; Mammalia; Primates; Aotidae. The record is from Ensembl.